GGAGGAUGGUUGAAUGUGGCUUGGUGGCCACAACUGGAGAGGCACAGAGACGGUGGCGAACACCGUGAUCAAGAGCAGCCGGUUAGGUGGAGCUUGGGCGUCUUUCGCACAGAAGUGAUCUUUGCUGUCUAGAUCUUUUGGGAUGGGGCAAUCAGAACAGCAUGAAAACUUGCACUGUACUUUACAGAAAUGAAAAGACUCAGACCCUACCACAAAAAGCUUACAGUUUCAAUGAGACCCUCUCAGGAAUGACCACAACAGCUGAAAGAAAAGGAGGUGAUUGCUGAGCUGGUGCUCCCUCCAAGUGCAAAUAAACAAGAUGUGGGACACAUGUUCUGGAUA
Molecule: long non-coding RNA, 342 nt
Organism: Mauremys mutica (yellowpond turtle)
Lineage: Eukaryota; Metazoa; Chordata; Testudines; Geoemydidae
Exons: 3
Source: RefSeq, a predicted model, not a curated record